Molecule: long non-coding RNA, 544 nt
Organism: Amphiprion ocellaris (clown anemonefish)
Lineage: Eukaryota; Metazoa; Chordata; Actinopteri; Pomacentridae
Exons: 3
Source: RefSeq, a predicted model, not a curated record
AUUUUUCAAUUCAGUUGUCGGCCAAAAAGAGCCUCCAUUUUAACCAGCUGCAUUCCGUGAUUCCAACCGGGUCCCUGAACGCCACAGCCGAGCUGGAGUUGAUGCAGGCUGCCGUACAGACCACCGAUCCUGAUGGUGUUGUCGGCCUUGGAGGAUGAGGUCCAGUUACCAGGAUCACUACUCUGCAGCUCACCAGUCCCGUCCUGCAGCUCAUCCACGCUGUCCUCUUCUCAACAGACCAAAUCAUGAAAAAGGAAGCGGGAUGCUACUGUGGAUCUUCUGCAGUAUCUGGAGAGGUCAGAGGAACGGUUCUUGGAACAGAUCAGAAGAGACCAAGACCUGACCACUGCCAUGCUCCAGAGCAUCCAGAGGAUGGAUGCAAAUUCAAACACUUUGGUUGGACUGAUGGGAUGCAUGGUGUCGGUGCUGGAGCGACUAUCCCAGAAAUAAACUGCAUUGUCCACUACUUCUGCCUUUUCUAGAAAAAAUAACUUUUUUUGUAAAUUAUUUUCCUUCUUAGCUAUUUAAGUUCACUUGUAUUUUA